Molecule: long non-coding RNA, 1630 nt
Filed under: Androctonus crassicauda
Lineage: Eukaryota; Metazoa; Arthropoda; Arachnida; Scorpiones; Buthidae
Source: RNAcentral
UUCAAACACGAAAAAAAAAAAUAUAUAUCUUCUCACACCGUACGAAGAUGAUAAAUUAUACGUCUUCAUCCAGAAUAUUAACCUAAUUGCAUAAAUCAAGCUAAUUAUCCUAUUUUUGAUUAAUUAUGUUUUUAUAAUUUGUAUUUUUAGACUCCUUUCCUCUUAAAGUUUGCAUUGUUUUCCGUACAGUUUGGAGUGUUUUAUUAAUACCAGUACCAAAAAUAAGGCACGUGUCAGAAUAUAAUCCUAGUAAAGCAGCAUGAACCAAUUUUUAAUGUCAGUUAUCUCUCUCCUUUUUUAUAUUUUCUCCUCUCUUUCUCUCUUUCUCUCUCUCUUUAUCUCAAAGUUUUCCACGUAGAAUUAAUUUGUCAAGAUUAUUUUGACCUUUAUCCAUUAUUUAUUUUGAUCAGACAAAACAAAUGUAAAAUCCCGAAACGUCGUGUUGUAACAGAACGAUCAUUCAUUGUCAAAUAAAACGGGAUAAUGAUCCAUUAAGAUAAUUAUGCUCGUAUCAAGGGAUAAUUGGUAUUAAAUAUUUAUCUGCAGAACAAUAGAAUGUAUACAUGUGUAGAAACAGUUUAGAUCUUUCGAAAGCGGAUUAGUUCAUUAGUUUUUUUUUUUUUUUUCUUCUGGGCGACGUGGCCAGAUUUCGUUAGACGUUAACCAGAUGCACCUGGCUUACGUGGCCAGGUUUGUUACCGUAAUAACAGCAUCUCUUCGAGAAAUUUAUGCAAUCAAGUGCAGUGACAGAAGAUCGAAAAAGGAGGUCAAAGGAAAAGUUCGGUCUCGACAAAUCAAUAUAGACAUAAAACGUGGUCGCCCAGAGACAAACGUGAACGCGUGUAAAGUUUUGGGGGCGAAUUCUUUCAAGGUUAAAGUCAACGAUCAUUCGUGGAAUUGUUAAUAGUUCUGCCCCAUUUGCGUAUCAAUCGGUUCAUCUCGCAGUAGUAUAUUUUGUAUCGAUUGGAUUCGAAUACUUCUGAAAGUAACAAUCUCGUACGUGAGGUCCACAUGGAACUUUGAAUUCGUCGAUUCGUCGUGCAGAACGAGUGAAUUAAAUAUUCCAAAAGACGAACUUUAACCAACAUCCAGGUUUGUUUUCCUGCAAAUUCUUCAGUUGUUCCACCACGUGACCUGUACCACGUGGUUACCGGGCUGGUUGGUUAGUCCGUCCAGCCAGCCGCGCCAUAUACACAGUGUUGUCGGUUGUCUUAACUCAUGUUAGUUAUUGUGCUUUCCCACUGAUGGACGUGAGUACAACUUCGUUAUGGAUAAGCCCAGACUACGACGGACAGGAACUUUAAGGAGAUCGUCUUUUUAUAACCGUAAGUAGCUGUUUGCUGUUAGUUUAUUAAUAAAUCCGAGGCCGAGUUUAUCGGUCGCUGCCAUUGAUCAACUGACAUGGUAACGUCCUUCCCAUCUUGUUUUCCCUCCUCGUCGCCUCUACACUCGUUUAGAUAUGUUAAAAAGUUUUUAAAACCUCGUCGCAUACAAUGCAUACCAAAAUAAACUCCGAAACAAACAGGAUGUAAUCGGGUUGACUAACCAAAUUGCAGGUUUUUUUUUAUUAUUAUUAUUUUAUAAUGCUCAUCUUUUUUACGCUUAUCGCGUUUUAACGUCUCUCUGUAUU